RNAcentral lists this long non-coding RNA (364 nucleotides) under Mytilus galloprovincialis (Mediterranean mussel). The record is from RNAcentral. Lineage: Eukaryota; Metazoa; Mollusca; Bivalvia; Mytilida; Mytilidae.
GCAAGCAAUAGCGGAUGGCACCCUUUCCCCAUCGCCAGGCCAGCGGCAGCCAUUUAGAAAAUUUUUGCUGUUUCCAUGGUAACGACGGCCAUUUUGAAAAUUCGAAACUCAAAAGUUAAGUCUACAUAAGCUAGGCAAAAUUUGUUAUAAGUUUCAUUAAAUUUAAAGCAUUUUGAAGUUUUUCAUAAUUUUGCUGUUCCCAUGGUAACGGCGGCCAUUUUGAAUAUUCCAAAGUCAAACCCCCGCUGCACUUUUUCCCUCCAUAAUCAUAUAUACCAUUUAAUGUCUCUAGAGUAAAUUUAACAUUGAUGUUCUGGAAUGUUCUGUGAGAAUUCAAAGUUUUGACCUUUUUGCAUUGUUUCCA